RNAcentral lists this small RNA (451 nucleotides) under Histoplasma ohiense. RNAcentral describes it as "hypothetical lncRNA". Lineage: Eukaryota; Fungi; Ascomycota; Eurotiomycetes; Onygenales; Ajellomycetaceae. The record is from RNAcentral.
UGUACAUUUGUAUGGGGCUGUGGGGUAGAAACAGAAAUAUAAAGGUGUGAGUGAGAUAAGAGGCCUGGUUUGUUCCCCCCCCUUUUUUAAAAAAAAAAAAAAAAAGAGAGAGAGAGAGAGAGAGAUUUAUAUAUGUACCUUGUAGGUAUCGUUUUGUUUCUCUCCCUGAUGGAGCGCCUUCAUGCGCUUGUGGAGCUCUUCAGACUCCAUCCGCUAUGCAAACACCAGGGAAAAUACUGAAAGCAGGAAAAGCUUAGGGGGAAAUAUCCGGAGAUAGAUCUUAAUAAGGAACACGGUCAGUCAACUGACACUUGAUUGAGAGGAAAAUCAAAAAAAACCAGAAAAUGAGCGACACGAGAUGAAAUCGAAGGCAUUUGUCUGAGUGGCAUGUGUAUGUACAGUACACAGCACAAAACAAAUGCAUUGACAAAAAAAAAAAAGAAUGAAUGAA